RNAcentral lists this ribosomal RNA (695 nucleotides) under uncultured bacterium. RNAcentral's name for it is "bacterial SSU rRNA". It matches the Rfam family "Bacterial small subunit ribosomal RNA", at positions 111 to 823 of the family's 1533-position model. The record is from RNAcentral.
UAACGCGUGGGCAACCUGCCCCGUACCGGGGGAUAACAGCCGGAAACGGCUGCUAAUACCGCAUAUGCUUUGCGGGCCGCAUAGCCCGCAAAGCAAAACUCCGGUGGUACGGGAUGGGCCCGCGUCUGAUUAGCUGGUUGGCGGGGUAACGGCCCACCAAGGCGACGAUCAGUAGCCGGCCUGAGAGGGCGGCCGGCCACAUUGGGACUGAGACACGGCCCAGACUCCUGCGGGAGGCAGCAGUGGGGAAUAUUGCACAAUGGGGGAAACCCUGAUGCAGCGACGCCGCGUGGGCGAGGAAGUACCUCGGUAUGUAAAGCCCUAUCAGCAGGGAAGAAACAGGACAGUACCUGACUAAGAAGCCCCGGCUAACUACGUGCCAGCAGCCGCGGUAAUACGUAGGGGGCAAGCGUUAUCCGGAUUCACUGGGCGUAAAGGGAGCGCAGGCGGCAUGGCAAGUCUGAUGUGAAAACCCGGGGCCCAACCCCGGGAGUGCAUUGGAAACUGCCAGGCUGGAGUGUCGGAGGGGUAAGUGGAAUUCCUAGUGUAGCGGUGAAAUGCGUAGAUAUUAGGAGGAACACCAGUGGCGAAGGCGGCUUGCUGGGCUUUUACUGACGCUGAGGCUCGAAAGCGUGGGGAGCAAACAGGAUUAGAUACCCUGGUAGUCCACGCUGUAAACGAUGAUUACUAGGUGU